Molecule: ribosomal RNA, 1360 nt
Filed under: Staphylococcus sp.
Lineage: Bacteria; Bacillati; Bacillota; Bacilli; Caryophanales; Staphylococcaceae
Also listed under: 1 other name
Description: bacterial SSU rRNA
Rfam family: Bacterial small subunit ribosomal RNA
Source: RNAcentral
CGCUGGCGGCGUGCCUAAUACAUGCAAGUCGAGCGAACAGAUAAGGAGCUUGCUCCUUUGACGUUAGCGGCGGACGGGUGAGUAACACGUGGGUAACCUACCUAUAAGACUGGGAUAACUUCGGGAAACCGGAGCUAAUACCGGAUAACAUUUGGAACCGCAUGGUUCUAAAGUGAAAGAUGGUUUUGCUAUCACUUAUAGAUGGACCCGCGCCGUAUUAGCUAGUUGGUAAGGUAACGGCUUACCAAGGCGACGAUACGUAGCCGACCUGAGAGGGUGAUCGGCCACACUGGAACUGAGACACGGUCCAGACUCCUACGGGAGGCAGCAGUAGGGAAUCUUCCGCAAUGGGCGAAAGCCUGACGGAGCAACGCCGCGUGAGUGAUGAAGGGUUUCGGCUCGUAAAACUCUGUUAUUAGGGAAGAACAAAUGUGUAAGUAACUGUGCACAUCUUGACGGUACCUAAUCAGAAAGCCACGGCUAACUACGUGCCAGCAGCCGCGGUAAUACGUAGGUGGCAAGCGUUAUCCGGAAUUAUUGGGCGUAAAGCGCGCGUAGGCGGUUUCUUAAGUCUGAUGUGAAAGCCCACGGCUCAACCGUGGAGGGUCAUUGGAAACUGGGAAACUUGAGUGCAGAAGAGGAAAGUGGAAUUCCAUGUGUAGCGGUGAAAUGCGCAGAGAUAUGGAGGAACACCAGUGGCGAAGGCGACUUUCUGGUCUGUAACUGACGCUGAUGUGCGAAAGCGUGGGGAUCAAACAGGAUUAGAUACCCUGGUAGUCCACGCCGUAAACGAUGAGUGCUAAGUGUUAGGGGGUUUCCGCCCCUUAGUGCUGCAGCUAACGCAUUAAGCACUCCGCCUGGGGAGUACGACCGCAAGGUUGAAACUCAAAGGAAUUGACGGGGACCCGCACAAGCGGUGGAGCAUGUGGUUUAAUUCGAAGCAACGCGAAGAACCUUACCAAAUCUUGACAUCCUUUGAAAACUCUAGAGAUAGAGCCUUCCCCUUCGGGGGACAAAGUGACAGGUGGUGCAUGGUUGUCGUCAGCUCGUGUCGUGAGAUGUUGGGUUAAGUCCCGCAACGAGCGCAACCCUUAAGCUUAGUUGCCAUCAUUAAGUUGGGCACUCUAGGUUGACUGCCGGUGACAAACCGGAGGAAGGUGGGGAUGACGUCAAAUCAUCAUGCCCCUUAUGAUUUGGGCUACACACGUGCUACAAUGGACAAUACAAAGGGCAGCUAAACCGCGAGGUCAUGCAAAUCCCAUAAAGUUGUUCUCAGUUCGGAUUGUAGUCUGCAACUCGACUACAUGAAGCUGGAAUCGCUAGUAAUCGUAGAUCAGCAUGCUACGGUGAAUACGUUCCC